RNAcentral lists this transfer RNA (72 nucleotides) under Candidatus Gottesmanbacteria bacterium RIFCSPHIGHO2_01_FULL_47_48. RNAcentral describes it as "tRNA-Met". It matches the Rfam family "tRNA". From Rfam's summary of the family: Transfer RNA (tRNA) molecules are approximately 80 nucleotides in length. Their secondary structure includes four short double-helical elements and three loops (D, anti-codon, and T loops). Further hydrogen bonds mediate the characteristic L-shaped molecular structure. tRNAs have two regions of fundamental functional importance: the anti-codon, which is responsible for specific mRNA codon recognition, and the 3' end, to which the tRNAs corresponding amino acid is attached (by aminoacyl-tRNA synthetases). tRNAs cope with the degeneracy of the genetic code in two manners: having more than one tRNA (with a specific anti-codon) for a particular amino acid; and 'wobble' base-pairing, i.e. permitting non-standard base-pairing at the 3rd anti-codon position. Lineage: Bacteria; Candidatus Gottesmaniibacteriota. The record is from RNAcentral.
GCCAGGGUAGCUUAGUGGUAGAGCGUGGGAAUCAUAACCCCAAGGUCGCGAGUCCAAUUCUCGCCCCUGGCA